RNAcentral lists this ribosomal RNA (497 nucleotides) under uncultured bacterium. RNAcentral's name for it is "partial 16S ribosomal RNA". It matches the Rfam family "Bacterial small subunit ribosomal RNA", at positions 28 to 507 of the family's 1533-position model. The record is from RNAcentral.
GAUGAACGCUGGCGGCGUGCCUAAUACAUGCAAGUCGAGCGAACGGACGAGAAGCUUGUUUCUCUGAUGUUAGCGGCGGACGGGUGAGUAACACGUGGAUAACCUACCUAUAAGCCUGGGAUAACUUCGGGAAACCGGAGCUAAUACCGGAUCAUAUUUUGAACCGCAUGGUUCAAAAGUGAAAGACGGUCUUGCUGUCACUUAUAGAUGGAUCCGAGCUGCAUUAGCUAGUUGGUAAGGUAACGGCUUACCAAGGCAACGAUGCAUAGCCGACCUGAGAGGGUGAUCAGCCACGCUGGAACUGAGUCACGGUCCAGACUCCUACGGGAGGCAGCAGUCGGGAAUCUUCCGCAAUGGGCGAAAGCCUGACGGAGCAACGCCGCGUGAGUGAUGAAGAGCUUCUGAUCGUAAAACGCUGUUAUUAGGGAAGAACAUAUGUGUAAGUAACUGUGCACAUCUUGACGGUACCUGAUCAGAAAGCCACGGCUAACUACGUG